RNAcentral lists this ribosomal RNA (450 nucleotides) under uncultured Glomeromycotina. Its description in RNAcentral is "SSU rRNA". It matches the Rfam family "Eukaryotic small subunit ribosomal RNA", at positions 569 to 1020 of the family's 1831-position model. Lineage: Eukaryota; Fungi; Glomeromycota. The record is from RNAcentral.
AGCAGCCGCGGUAAUUCCAGCUCCAAUAGCGUAUAUUAAAGUUGUUGCAGUUAAAAAGCUCGUAGUUGAAUUUUGGAUUUCUACCAAUUGGUCCAUCUUUUAGAUGAGUACUGGUUGUGUGGGGUCUAUCCGCCUGGUGAUACGUAAUGUCCUUUAUUGGAUGUUGCGGGUAGUCAGGACCUUUACCUUGAAAAAAUUAGAGUGUUUAAAGCAGGCUUAUGCCGGAAUACAUUAGCAUGGAAUAAUAGAAUAGGACGAAGUUGUUUUAUUUUGUUGGUUUCUAGGACAACCGUAAUGAUUAAUAGGGAUAGUUGGGGGCAUUAGUAUUCAAUUGUCAGAGGUGAAAUUCUUGGAUUUAUUGAAGACUAACUACUGCGAAAGCAUUUGCCAAGGAUGUUUUCAUUAAUCAAGAACGAAAGUUAGGGGAUCGAAGACGAUCAGAUACCGUCG